Molecule: long non-coding RNA, 441 nt
Organism: Cannabis sativa
Lineage: Eukaryota; Viridiplantae; Streptophyta; Magnoliopsida; Rosales; Cannabaceae
Exons: 2
Source: RefSeq, a predicted model, not a curated record
GUUCAUAUUUUACGUUAAAAAUGUUCGUUUUAGUACAUUAUAUGUGUUGGUGUGAAUCAUAGUGAUAAAUGAUUGUGUUUAGUGUGUCAUGCAAGUGAAAUUAACCUACGUGUUGUGUAGUUUGACGUAAGAUUUCAUUGUUAAUCUUAGGUUAUGCUUGAAUAUAUUUUAAGUGUUAUUGUGUUAUUGGAUUUAGGAUCUUGUUCUCAACAAAGAAACUCGGCAAGAGGUUCGAGGGAGAGAAAAGGAUAUACUUAGCAACUGAGGUAAAGGCAAAACUAUACAGUGAGGGUGGCGAGCUCGAGGCAUGGAUUACAUGUUAGGGGAUUGUCACGAUGUUUUGGUUUAAAAAUAUUUCAUUUAAGAUUAUGAUUCAAAUAGUUUUUGUAAGGCUUUAUAUUUUAAAGUUAUGAAUAAAUAAAUGUUUUGUUUUAAAAAUAA